UAAGGAAUAUUGGUCAAUGGACGCAAGUCUGAACCAGCCAUGCCGCGUGGAGGAUGAAGGUCCUCUGGAUUGUAAACUUCUUUUAUCUGGGAAGAAAUCCAUUUUUUCUAGAAUGGUUGACGGUACCAGAUGAAUAAGCACCGGCUAACUCCGUGCCAGCAGCCGCGGUAAUACGGAGGGUGCAAGCGUUAUCCGGAUUCACUGGGUUUAAAGGGUGCGUAGGUGGGUAAGUAAGUCAGUGGUGAAAUCUCCGGGCUUAACCCGGAAACUGCCAUUGAUACUAUUUGUCUUGAAUACUGUGGAGGUCAGCGGAAUAUGUCAUGUAGCGGUGAAAUGCUUAGAUAUGACAUAGAACACCAAUUGCGAAGGCAGCUGGCUACACAAAUAUUGACACUGAGGCACGAAAGCGUGGGGAUCAAAACAGGAUUAGAUACCCUGGUAGUCCACGCCCUAAACUAUGGAUAACUCGACAUUUGCGAU
This 480-nucleotide ribosomal RNA is filed under the name uncultured Bacteroidota bacterium. RNAcentral describes it as "bacterial SSU rRNA". It matches the Rfam family "Bacterial small subunit ribosomal RNA", at positions 355 to 830 of the family's 1533-position model. The record is from RNAcentral. Lineage: Bacteria; Pseudomonadati; Bacteroidota.